RNAcentral lists this unclassified non-coding RNA (360 nucleotides) under Hevea brasiliensis (rubber tree). The record is from RNAcentral. Lineage: Eukaryota; Viridiplantae; Streptophyta; Magnoliopsida; Malpighiales; Euphorbiaceae.
AUUGUAUUAGAAAAUGGACCAUGAUACAACUCUGCCCCUUGUCUCUGCAGAUAGACAAGAAAGGGAACUCAUCCCUGAGGACUCCACAAAUGCCAGGCCUCUCUUUCAACACACAAAAAUUGAAACAAAAACGAAGGACCAUAUCCACAAAACACAUAGAACCAUUAAAAUUCUAUAUCAACACAACAUAUCAAUCAAAUGAUGAAGCCAUCAAAAAGGUAAGAACACAAAAUAUAGGGCAAAUGAAAAUUUUCUUCUAACAAUCAUAAAAGACGCCAUAACAAUUUAGGUUAAUUUGUAUUAAACUGCUUUGGUCAAAACCCAACACAACACACUAGUUUAAAUAAGCAUCCAAAGAAU